This 501-nucleotide ribosomal RNA is filed under the name uncultured bacterium. RNAcentral describes it as "bacterial SSU rRNA". It matches the Rfam family "Bacterial small subunit ribosomal RNA", at positions 8 to 507 of the family's 1533-position model. The record is from RNAcentral.
AGAGUUUGAUCCUGGCUCAGAAUGAACGCUGGCGGCGUGCCUAACACAUGCAAGUCGAGCGAGAAAGUCUCUUCGGAGAUAAGUACAGCGGCGGACGGGUGAGUAACGCGUGAGAAUUUACCCUUUAGUGAAGAAUACCUCUGAGAAAUCAGGGUUAAUACUGCAUACGUCCCUACGGGGAGAAAGGUGGCCUCUUUGCUGCCGCUAAAGGAUAAGCUUGCGUACUAUUAGCUAGUUGGUGAGGUAAAGGCUCACCAAGGCGAUGAUGGUUAGCCGGCCUGAGAGGGUGUACGGCCACACUGGAACUUAGACACGGUCCAGACUCCUACGGGAGGCAGCAGUGAGGAAUAUUGCGCAAUGGGCGAAAGCCUGACGCAGCGACGCCGCGUGGAGGAUGAAGGUCUUCGGAUUGUAAACUCCUGUUAAGUGGGAAGAAAGACCUAUUUCUAAUACAGAUAGGGGAUGACGGUACCAUUAGAGAAAGCACCGGCUAACUUCGUG